ACAACCCUUUCCAGUCUGAGCUGACCAGCCUGAUGGUAAUGGUAAUCAAUCAUAACAUUAUCAGGUUUGACAUCUAAAAAGAGUAACUUGGUUAGUAUCUGGAUCUUGAUGAGCAGGCUGAUGCAUUACCAAGAUGUAUUCAGUUCUUGGCAUGAAACUCCUUUAACACCUGCCCAAGUUCUCACAAUAUCUGAUUCCAAGACGCAAUUGACAUGUUCAGAUUGUUGUUCACAAGAGAAAGCAAAUUAUCACUAAAGUGAUUGUAGAUAAGGAUUUGUUCAGCUUCAUUAUCAUCAUCAUACAUUCAAAGACAACAUGUUUCUGGGAACUCUUGUUUAAGUUCCAGUGAUUGUUCGAAGAUUGAAGGGGAUACAUGUUUUAGCACAAAGUAUUGAUUUCCACACCUAAAUCUUUCAGUCAAUAACCAGAUGGACUCAUGCAAUUUGAGAUGUAUGACUCACUGUGCA
This 467-nucleotide small RNA is filed under the name Histoplasma ohiense. Its description in RNAcentral is "hypothetical lncRNA". Lineage: Eukaryota; Fungi; Ascomycota; Eurotiomycetes; Onygenales; Ajellomycetaceae. The record is from RNAcentral.